RNAcentral lists this long non-coding RNA (489 nucleotides) under Androctonus crassicauda. The record is from RNAcentral. Lineage: Eukaryota; Metazoa; Arthropoda; Arachnida; Scorpiones; Buthidae.
UGUAGAAAAAAUAUUUGUAAAAGCAUAAAUCACUAGUAGGUAUAGAUAUUGUAAUAAACAAAAUUAGCAAUUAUGUUCUGAUCUUCAAGAUCAUACUGUAAGGAAAAUGAACAAUAACAUUCAUAAAGAAAUGACCGCACUUUGUCUCAUCUGCGGAAGACAGUCACUGUCUUCCGCAGAUACAGUCAUAAUUACCCCGAAACAGCCUGGGACGGCCAUCUCCAAUUGGAACACAGUCAGUGUUCCUAUUGGAGAUGGUUGUCCCAGGUUGUCUCGGGUAAUUAUUGUAUCAAUUAAGUGUGAUACAAUCAAUCCCUGACUGACUGACUGACAGAUCUGUAUUUACAUAGGAUUAGUUUUAAUUAACAACCUGGACCCUUCCUGAAAAAUUGAAAAAGUGUGGGACUUUGAAAUGAAUCUGGCUCCUCCAAGAUGGUAAAUGAAUAUUUUAUCAUGCCAUUUCUGUUUAAUAUAACUAUUUUUAGUUUU